CCAGAACUGAUGUGCCUGAGAUAGCAUCCCAGUGGCUCCACCAUGGACUUGGUGCCAAGCUUUGUUUUCCUCCUGAUCAUUCUCCAAGGUGUCCAGUGUGAGGUGAAGCUGGUGGAGUCUGGGGCAGGCUUGGUGCAGCCUGGGGGGUCUCUGAGACUAUCCUGUGUAGCCUCUGGAUUCACCUUCAGUAGUUACCAUAUGAACUGGGUCCGUCAGGCUCCAGGGAAGGGACUGGAGCGAAUUUGUGCUAUUACUGGUAAUGGUGGUAGCACACACUAUGCAGACUCUGUGAAAGGCCGAUUCACCAUGUCCAGGGACAAUGCCAAGAACACGUUGUAUCUGCAAAUGAACAGCCUGAGAGCUGAGGACACAGCCAUGUAUUACUGUGCAAGAGACACAGUGAGGGGAAGUCAGUGUAAGCCCAGACACAAACCUCCCUGAGGAGGCAGCAGGGCUGGGCUGCAGUGGGCGCUCAGGACACCAGGGGGCGUUCAUGACCAGCAAACCCAGGUCCCAGUUCAGAAGCUGUCCUUGGAAGGGUUUUGUAGGUUUCCUAUUGGGAUCAAUGCUUUCUUCCCUCCUAUUGUCCCUGUGAAAGUUCCUGCUUGCUUCCUUGUGUCUUUAAUUAGAUUCUCUGCAGGCAA
This is a non-coding RNA of Pipistrellus kuhlii (Kuhl's pipistrelle), 644 nucleotides long. Lineage: Eukaryota; Metazoa; Chordata; Mammalia; Chiroptera; Vespertilionidae. The record is from the annotation of a RefSeq genome assembly.